RNAcentral lists this ribosomal RNA (400 nucleotides) under uncultured bacterium. RNAcentral describes it as "bacterial SSU rRNA". It matches the Rfam family "Bacterial small subunit ribosomal RNA", at positions 356 to 773 of the family's 1533-position model. The record is from RNAcentral.
GGGGAAUAUUGGGCAAUGGGCGAAAGCCUGACCCAGCAACGCCGCGUGAAGGAAGAAGGCUUUCGGGUCGUAAACUUCUAUCCCGGGUGAAGAUAAUGACGGUAGCCCGGAAGGAAGCCCCGGCUAACUACGUGCCAGCAGCCGCGGUAAUACGUAGGGGGCAAGCGUUGUCCGGAAUGAUUGGGCGUAAAGGGCGCGUAGGCGGCCUUUUAAGUCCGAUGUGAAAUUCCUGUUUUUAAGGCAGGAAUUGCAUUGGAAACUGGAGGGCUUGAGUGCAGGAGAGGUAAGCGGAAUUCCCGGUGUAGCGGUGAAAUGCGUAGAGAUCGGGAGGAACACCAGUGGCGAAGGCGGCUUACUGGACUGUAACUGACGCUGAGGCGCGAAAGUGUGGGGAGCAAAC